UACGUAGGGGGCAAGCGUUGUCCGGAUUUAUUGGGCGUAAAGAGCGUGUAGGCGGCCAGGUAGGUCCGUUGUGAAAACUCGAGGCUCAACCUCGAGACGCCGAUGGAAACCAUCUGGCUAGAGUCCGGAAGAGGAGAGUGGAAUUCCUGGUGUAGCGGUGAAAUGCGUAGAUAUCUGGAGGAACACCGGUGGCGAAGGCGGCAUCCUGGACCAUUACUGACACUGAGAAGCGAAAGCCAGGGGAGCAAACGGG
This 253-nucleotide ribosomal RNA is filed under the name uncultured bacterium. RNAcentral's name for it is "partial 16S ribosomal RNA". It matches the Rfam family "Bacterial small subunit ribosomal RNA", at positions 524 to 776 of the family's 1533-position model. The record is from RNAcentral.